This 497-nucleotide ribosomal RNA is filed under the name uncultured bacterium. RNAcentral's name for it is "partial 16S ribosomal RNA". It matches the Rfam family "Bacterial small subunit ribosomal RNA", at positions 28 to 507 of the family's 1533-position model. The record is from RNAcentral.
GAUGAACGCUGGCGGCGUGCCUAAUACAUGCAAGUCGAGCGAACAGACGAGGAUCUUGCUCCUCUGACGUUAGCGGCGGACGGGUGAGUAACACGUGGAUAACCUACCUAUAAGACUGGGAUAACUUCGGGAAACCGGAUCUAAUACCGGAUAAUAUAUUGAACCGCAUGGUUCAAUAGUGAAAGACGGUUUUGCUGUCACUUAUAGAUGGAUCCGCGCCGCAUUAGCUAGUUGGUAAGGUAACGGCUUACCAAGGCAACGAUGCGUAGCCGACCUGAGAGGGUGAUCGGCCACACUGGAACUGAGACACGGUCCAGACUCCUACGGGAGGCAGCAGUAGGGAAUCUUCCGCAAUGGGCGAAAGCCUGACGGAGCAACGCCGCGUGAGUGAUGAAGGUCUUCGGAUCGUAAAGCUCUGUUAUUAGGGAAGAACAAAUGUGUAAGUAACUAUGCACGUCUUGACGGUACCUAAUCAGAAAGCCACGGCUAACUACGUG